Molecule: small nuclear RNA, 107 nt
Filed under: Vicugna pacos (alpaca)
Lineage: Eukaryota; Metazoa; Chordata; Mammalia; Artiodactyla; Camelidae
Source: RNAcentral
GUGCUCACUUCGACAGCACAUAUACUAAAAUUGGGACGAUACAGAGAAGAUUAGCAUGGCCCCUGCACAAGGAUGACACACAAAUUCAGGAAGCAUUCCAUAUUUAA